AUGCAAUUAGUUAUCAAUGGGCGCACGGUGAUUAAUAUUAACGGGGAGGUGGGGCCUUACUUCCCAACGGGCCAGGGGGUUCGUCAGGGUGAUCCCCUCUCGCCCUUCCCCUUUAACUUGGUGGUCGAUGCCCUCGCCAUUAUCCUGGACCUGGCCAGGAGGGCUGGCCACAUUAGAGGCAUUUGCCCCCAUCUAACUGGGGAUGGGGGCCUUACUCAUCUGCAGUAUGCAGACAAUACGAUCCUUAUGGUGGAGGGGUCGGAUGAGGACAUCCGACACCUCAAGUUCUUCCUGUUAUGCUUCCAGGAAAUGUCGGGGCUUACGAUUAACUUCGCAAAGAGCGAGGUUAUGGUGACGGGGUACUCCAUGGAGGAGGCAACCAGUAUAGCCAACCGUCUUAACUGUCGCUUGGGAUCCUUCCCGACGACCUACCUCGGCAUGCCGAUUAGUGAUGUUUGCCUUCAGGAGAAGGACCUCCGCCCUACAGUUGACAAGCUCCAGUUCAGGGUGGAACCUUGGCAAGGACAAUGGCUCUCCAAGGCAGCCCGGGUGGUUCUCAUGAACUCAUCCCUCAUUAGCCUUCUCAUGUACCUGAUGAGAUUCUAUAGUCUUCAUGAAUCCCUGCACCAGGAUAUUGCUAAGUACCUCUCCCGGUUUUUUGGGGCUCACUAG
This 672-nucleotide ribosomal RNA is filed under the name Triticum aestivum (bread wheat). RNAcentral describes it as "partial small subunit ribosomal RNA". The record is from RNAcentral. Lineage: Eukaryota; Viridiplantae; Streptophyta; Magnoliopsida; Poales; Poaceae.